Molecule: long non-coding RNA, 510 nt
Organism: Brassica rapa (field mustard)
Lineage: Eukaryota; Viridiplantae; Streptophyta; Magnoliopsida; Brassicales; Brassicaceae
Source: RefSeq, a predicted model, not a curated record
UGUUUAGAUCAACAGGAGAUUGUUUUAAAGAAGAUUCUGAAACCUUUUUAACCAUGAAUCCAACCUCUUCCUCUCUGAUGUUCUUGAAUGAAUGAACCUUCUUGAGGCUGAAUAGCUCGACGACAGCGAGCUUUCGCAUCUCUCGCCAGUACUCCCCGUACUGCGCGAAGCUGAUGUCUUUGAAACCGUACGAGAGUUUCCCCGUGGCGACAGUCUUUGGUCUGCUGCAGCAUCCAAGGUCAUGGAUCCUUAGAACUUCUUCAGCUGCUUCACUCGAGGAGAUGACAACCGUUGGAACAGAGCCGAGAUGAAGAAGUACCACGGGUCCGUAUUUGAUGGAGAGGUGAUGAAAGCAUCGGUGAGGUAGUCCUGCGAGUUGGUGCAAGUUUCCGAUGAUGGGAAAACUUGGAGGACUUGGAGGAAGAUUCAAUGUUUUAGUUUCCUUAAUCUUUUUCACGAAACAGAUCAAAGAGACAAACGUAAGAAGCAAGAAAACACAUGAGAAACAGA